RNAcentral lists this ribosomal RNA (433 nucleotides) under Laminacauda plagiata. RNAcentral describes it as "partial large subunit ribosomal RNA". Lineage: Eukaryota; Metazoa; Arthropoda; Arachnida; Araneae; Linyphiidae. The record is from RNAcentral.
AUAAUAAUAAGUCAAAUCUGCUCCAUGAUAAAUAAAUAAAUAGCCGCAGAAAUUUAACUGUGCUAAGGUAGCAUAAUCAUUUACCUUUUAAUUAAAGGUUUGUAUGAAUGAUUUAACAUUUAAUUUAUUUUUUUAUCAAAUUUUAUUUAAUUUAAAUUAAAAAUAAAAAUGUUUUUAUACAAAAAAAAGACGAUAAGACCCUACUGAACUUAACUUAAGUUAAGCUGGGGAAGCUAAUUAAAUAUAAUUUUAAUUUUAGAUCUCAGAAUAAUUUCUAAUAUAGUUAAAUUUAAAAGUUACCAUAGGGAUAACAGCGUAAUAUAAUUUUAAAGCUCAUAUUAAAAAUUAAGCUUACGACCUCGAUGUUGAAUUAGAAUUUCUUAUAAACGCAAUCGUUUAUAAAGUAGGUCUGUUCGACCUUUAAUAAUCUACA